RNAcentral lists this ribosomal RNA (253 nucleotides) under uncultured bacterium. Its description in RNAcentral is "partial 16S ribosomal RNA". It matches the Rfam family "Bacterial small subunit ribosomal RNA", at positions 524 to 776 of the family's 1533-position model. The record is from RNAcentral.
UACGAAGGGGGCGAGCGUUGUCCGGAAUUAUUGGGCGUAAAGGGCUCGUAGGCGGUUUGUCGCGUCGGGAGUGAAAACACCGGGCUUAACUCGGUGCUUGCUUUCGAUACGGGCAGACUAGAGGUAUGCAGGGGAGAACGGAAUUCCUGGUGUAGCGGUGAAAUGCGCAGAUAUCAGGAGGAACACCGGUGGCGAAGGCGGUUCUCUGGGCAUUACCUGACGCUGAGGAGCGAAAGUGUGGGGAGCGAACAGG